CCUACGGGGGGCAGCAGUGGGGAAUAUUGCGCAAUGGGCGAAAGCCUGACGCAGCGACGCCGCGUGAGGGAUGAAGGUCUUCGGAUCGUAAACCUCUGUCAGCAGGGAAGAACGGUCACUGUGCUAAUCAGCAGUGAAUUGACGGUACCUGCAAAGGAAGCACCGGCUAACUCCGUGCCAGCAGCCGCGGUAAUACGGAGGGUGCGAGCGUUAAUCGGAAUUACUGGGCGUAAAGCGCUCGUAGGCGGUAUGUCAAGUCAAGGGGGAAAUCCCCGCGCUCAACGUGGGAACUGCCUUUGAAACUGGCAAACUGGAGUGUGUGAGAGGAUAGUGGAAUUCCAGGUGUAGGAGUGAAAUCCGUAGAUAUCUGGAGGAACAUCAGUGGCGAAGGCGACUAUCUGGCACAUAACUGACGCUGAGGAGCGAAAGCGUGGGUAGCAAACAGGAUUAGAUACCCCGAUAGUC
Molecule: ribosomal RNA, 465 nt
Filed under: uncultured bacterium
Lineage: Bacteria
Description: partial 16S ribosomal RNA
Rfam family: Bacterial small subunit ribosomal RNA
Source: RNAcentral